CCAUAGCCCUGAUGGGAGCGGUAUCCUCGCAACGCAGUGGAGAGAUAAAGCGGACAGCAGGAAUUACC
This 68-nucleotide small RNA is filed under the name Flavobacterium saliperosum. Its description in RNAcentral is "Flavo-1 RNA". It matches the Rfam family "Flavo-1 RNA". Lineage: Bacteria; Pseudomonadati; Bacteroidota; Flavobacteriia; Flavobacteriales; Flavobacteriaceae. The record is from RNAcentral.